GGGGAAGAUUUAGAUAUAUCACUAAAACCAGCACCCAAGUGAUGUGACUCUUCACCAGAGUCCUGCCCACAAGGAGGAUUGUGACAUUUCACUGGACCAGCACCCACUCAGGAAUCAAAUCCGAGUUCGUCUACAGCUGAUUCGGCAGGUACCAGGGCGUCCGCGAUGGUGAGUGAUAGCACCGCGAUGGUGGUAUUGCUCCAUAUGCCUGAGACCCUAACAAAAGCCUAAUUACAACUCAUAUGCCUGGAGCCAGGACAUGUGCAGGAUGGUGAUGUAACUUUCCUCUCUGGAAUGGGUCCUGCACAAAGGAAUGAUAGUAACAUAUUGCAAAGCCAGACACACAGCCAUGAUGGUCCAAGUUAUAUUGGGAUUCAGCCAAUAGAAGAUAUUUUGCCUGUCAUCCCUAAGCUUAGGACAAUAGGGUCCUGCCCACAAGAAAGAUUGUGACAUCUCACUGGACAAGCACCCACCCAGACUCUGCCAAGAGAGGGGAUUAUUACAUAUUGCAGAGCCCAGCACCUAGGUGGAGUGACUCUCAUCUUUUUCUUCUACCCCGUAUAUAGCCAGCUUGGUGACCUACUAUUUGAGUCUAUACCCAGGCCCAGACCACAGAUGAAAUUGUGCAAUAUGUGGAACAAACACCUAAACAAUAUAUAACACCUUCCUUGGCUCUGUCUACAAAGGGCACUUUUAUAUAUCACUGGGACCAUCAACCAGGUGAUGUUAAUUAUCUUCCUGAAACCUGUCUACAAAGAGAGUUGUGUCGUAUACCUAGGCCCGUCAUGUAAGUGAUGUCAGUCCCUUCUACUGCCUUGGCCCUGCACUUACAGUGCAUUGUGACACAUAACAAGGUACUGCACACAGACGAUGUGAUUCUCCUUUUUGGGUUCUGCCAAAAGGAAGCAUUGUAAUAAAUCGCUUGGCUCAGUA
This 933-nucleotide long non-coding RNA is filed under the name Homo sapiens (human). RNAcentral describes it as "long intergenic non-protein coding RNA 293". Lineage: Eukaryota; Metazoa; Chordata; Mammalia; Primates; Hominidae. The record is from RNAcentral.